AACCGCCGUGUACCGAACGGUACGCACGGUGGUGUGAGAGGUCGGCGGUCAAAGACCGCCUCCUACUCGAU
RNAcentral lists this non-coding RNA (71 nucleotides) under Pseudobutyrivibrio sp. AR14. Lineage: Bacteria; Bacillati; Bacillota; Clostridia; Lachnospirales; Lachnospiraceae. RNAcentral also lists the same sequence under 1 other name. The record is from RNAcentral.